CCAGACAAUCAUAUAACAUAAUUUUGAUGAAAGGAUGGAUGUCAUUAUAGUAUGCAUCUCUGCCAUGCUGUCUGUGAUAUUUGCAGAGAUACCCAGCUGGGGAGCUCAGAGUUGACAAUCAUGAGUCUGUACAGCUCAGCUUCAGUACUGUCACUGGGAAAGAUAAGUCUUUAUGCAUGGGUUCGGCAGAAAUUAGGAACUGUGUAAGUG
Molecule: non-coding RNA, 210 nt
Organism: Pelobates cultripes (western spadefoot toad)
Lineage: Eukaryota; Metazoa; Chordata; Amphibia; Anura; Pelobatidae
Source: the annotation of a GenBank genome assembly